GCGAGUUGACCCCAACUUGUGUUCGGCUCGUUUAUUUAACGAGCUGAAAAAUUGUAGGGACUGAGAUUUUGACAGUGCAACUAGACUCUCUGCUGAUGAUGUUUAUGUGUGUAAUUUAAUUACAUAAGCACUCGUCAAGUUUCAGGAGAAUAUGAGCUAGAAUGGAGAAGUUACGCGAUUAUUAGUUUUCACUUAAGUGAAUAGUAACUCCGGUU
Molecule: long non-coding RNA, 215 nt
Filed under: Ananas comosus (pineapple)
Lineage: Eukaryota; Viridiplantae; Streptophyta; Magnoliopsida; Poales; Bromeliaceae
Description: long non-coding RNA (ACOM_LNC036570)
Source: RNAcentral